Molecule: non-coding RNA, 121 nt
Filed under: bovine gut metagenome
Description: yjdF RNA
Rfam family: azaaromatic riboswitch aptamer (yjdF RNA)
Source: RNAcentral
GACAAAGAUAAAAACGCAACGCGCCUCUUUUCAAAAGCGCCAGAGCCGGUAGGUAGCCCGGCCGUCCUGUAAAACAGGGUAAGUAACCUGCCCCUCCCGGGUUGUCCGUUCUUUGUCCAUA